Molecule: ribosomal RNA, 406 nt
Filed under: uncultured bacterium
Lineage: Bacteria
Description: partial 16S ribosomal RNA
Rfam family: Bacterial small subunit ribosomal RNA
Source: RNAcentral
AUUGAACGCUGGCGGCAGGCUUAACACAUGCAAGUCGAACGAGUGGCGGACGGGUGAGUAAUGUCUGGGCAACUGCCUGAUGGAGGGGGAUCACUACUGGAAACGGUAGCUCAUACCGCAUACCAUCAUCUUUGCCCAGGUGGGAUUAGCUAGUGGGUGGGGUAUGGGCUCACUUGGGCGACGAUCCCUAGCUGGUCUGAGAGGAUGACCGGCCAAACGGGAACGGAGACAAGGUCAAGACUCCUACGGGAGGCAGCAGGGGGGAAUAUUGGACAAUGGGCGCAAGCCGGAUGCAGCAAUGCGGGGUGUGGGAAGAAGGCCUUCGGGUUGGAAAGAACUUUCAGAGGGGAGGCGUUACCGGCAGAAGAAGCACCGGCUAACUACGUGCCAGCAGCCGCGGUAAUAC